This 458-nucleotide ribosomal RNA is filed under the name uncultured bacterium. RNAcentral's name for it is "bacterial SSU rRNA". It matches the Rfam family "Bacterial small subunit ribosomal RNA", at positions 338 to 793 of the family's 1533-position model. The record is from RNAcentral.
CCUACGGGAGGCAGCAGUGAGGAAUAUUGGACAAUGGACGAGAGUCUGAUCCAGCCAUGCCGCGUGCAGGAAGACAGCCCUAUGGGUCGUAAACUGCUUUUAUACGGGAAGAAACACCCCCUCGUGAGGGGGCUUGACGGUACCGUAUGAAUAAGGACCGGCUAACUCCGUGCCAGCAGCCGCGGUAAUACGGAGGGUCCGAGCGUUAUCCGGAAUCAUUGGGUUUAAAGGGUCCGUAGGCGGACAAUUAAGUCAGUGGUGAAAGUCUGCAGCUCAACUGUAGAAUUGCCAUUGAUACUGGUUGUCUUGAAUCGUUGUGAAGUGGCUAGAAUAUGUGGUGUAGCGGUGAAAUGCUUAGAUAUCACAUAGAAUACCGAUUGCGAAGGCAGGUCACUAACAACGUAUUGACGCUGAUGGACGAAAGCGUGGGGAGCGAACAAGAUUAGAUACCCUGGUAG